UACGUAGGUGGCGAGCGUUGUCCGGAUUUAUUGGGCGUAAAGCGCGCGCAGGCGGUCGCGUAAGUCUGCUGUGAAAUCUCCCUGGCUCAACCGGGAGGGGGCGGCGGAGACUGCGGGACUGGAGGGACCUAGAGGCCGGUGGAAUUCCCGGUGUAGUGGUGAAAUGCGUAGAGAUCGGGAGGAACACCUGUGGCGAAGGCGAGUCUCUGGACAUUUCCUGACGCUGAGGCACGAAAGCCAGGGGAGCAAACGGG
This 254-nucleotide ribosomal RNA is filed under the name uncultured bacterium. RNAcentral's name for it is "partial 16S ribosomal RNA". It matches the Rfam family "Bacterial small subunit ribosomal RNA", at positions 524 to 776 of the family's 1533-position model. The record is from RNAcentral.